RNAcentral lists this long non-coding RNA (337 nucleotides) under Cricetulus griseus (Chinese hamster). RNAcentral describes it as "lncRNA (ENSCGRG00015030451.1)". Lineage: Eukaryota; Metazoa; Chordata; Mammalia; Rodentia; Cricetidae. The record is from RNAcentral.
AGACAUGAAGGGGCAAGAUCCAGGAUUGUGUGAACAGAGCAUUGAGCACAGUACUCCUUGCCUGUAGCCACAUUGAUAUCUUCACUCUUUAGUAGAUGCUUGCUGAAUACCUGCUGCACGCCAAGUGUGCAGCCAGGCCCUGGGGUCCAGCAGGCCGUGAGAUGGAGACAGGGCUGGAGAGGUGGCUCAGUGGUUGGGAGCACAGGCUGCUCUUCCAGAGGACCCAGGUUCAAUUCCCAGCACCUACAUGGCAGCUCACAACUGCCUGUAACUCAUUUUUCAGGGGAUCUGGCACCUUCACACAGAAAUACAUGUAGACAAAACAUUAAUGCACAGG